Molecule: ribosomal RNA, 471 nt
Filed under: uncultured bacterium
Lineage: Bacteria
Description: bacterial SSU rRNA
Rfam family: Bacterial small subunit ribosomal RNA
Source: RNAcentral
UGGGGAAUCUUGCACAAUGGGCGAAAGCCUGAUGCAGCAACGCCGCGUGCGGGAAGACAGCCCUAGGGUUGUAAACCGCUUUCAGCAGGGGAAGAAACUGACGGUACCUGCAGAAGAAGAUGCGGCCAACUACGUGCCAGCAGCCGCGGUGACACGUAGGCAUCAAGCGUUAUCCGGAUUUAUUGGGCGUAAAGAGCUCGUAGGCGGUUCGGUAAGUCGGGUGUGAAAAUCUCUGGGCUCAACCCAGAGAGGCCACUCGAUACUGCUGUGACUAGAGUGCGGUAGGGGAGCGGGGAAUUCCUGGUGUAGCGGUGAAAUGCGCAGAUAUCAGGAGGAACACCAGUGGCGAAGGCGCCGCUCUGGGCCGUAACUGACGCUGAGGAGCGAAAGCAUGGGUAGCAAACAGGAUUAGAUACCCUGGUAGUCCACACCGUAAACGAUGAAUGCCAGUCGUCGGGUAGCAUGCUAUUC